CCACCUUCCUUCCCUCGUAUGUUGUAGGGUGAUAUGUAAGAUGGCCGCGCUCAUGACACACAGUGAGCCUGAUGAUGGGAACGGGGCUACUGGCACACUGUAGCAAAAUACAGCUGUGAUCAGUCAAGAAGUGACCCAGAAAAUUGGACGUCCACCUAAAGAGAGGACAAUUCCUCUCCAGAAAAAGAUCUACAACCAGGACUUUACUAUUAAUUUAUGAGGACAAAUUCUCCAGAAGUUCGGCUGAACUGGACGCCGCUUGAAGAGGGGAACAAACGGAAUAGUCAGAUGGGCGUCACAUGACCCUGUAAGGAGAGAGGCGCCUAUUGUGACCGCCAAGAGGACCCCUCUGAUGGAUGGUCUAGAAGAUCCGGACUGAACACAACCAAAGGUUGUAGGGUGAGAUGUAAGACGGCUGCGCUCACCUGCAGCAGGAUAUAUAUGUGCUGUAUACCUGAGGAGACGGUCACAGGAUAUAGGAAGACCCCAGAACAAGCCUGCUGGACCUGAAAGCUGCAAUCAGACCGCAGAGAUGUCUCCGCUCGCUGCGCUCCAGGCACUACGAUGCAGCAGUCUCUCUCCGCAGGAACCUCAGGAGAACGGGGAUGACCGGCGCCUCCGAGAAGCCAUAAAACUCCCACUUUCCUUUGCUUUUAUUA
Long non-coding RNA from Bufo gargarizans (Asiatic toad), 659 nucleotides. RefSeq lists it as uncharacterized. Lineage: Eukaryota; Metazoa; Chordata; Amphibia; Anura; Bufonidae. The transcript has 3 exons. The record is from RefSeq and is a predicted model, not a curated record.